CCUACGGGAGGCAGCAGUGGGGAAUAUUGGGCAAUGGUCGCAAGUCUGACCCAGCCACGCCGCGUGAAGGAAGAAGGCUUUCGGGUUGUUAAAUUCUUUUUAGGGGGAAGAGCAGACGACGGUACCCCUUGACUAAGCCAUGGCUAAAGACGUGCCAGCAGCCGCGGUAAUACGUAGGUCGCAGGCGUUGUUCGGGUUUCCUGGGUGUAACGGGCGUGCAGCCGGGAAGGGAAGUCAGAUGUGAAUUCCCGCGGCUCAACCGCGGAACUGCAGUUGAAACUGGUUUUCUUGAGUAGCGGAGAGGUAAUCGGAAUGCCUAGUGUAGCGGUGAAAUGCGUAGAUAUAAGGAAGAACACCAGUUGCGAAGGCAGAAUGCUGGACGACAACUGACGGUGAGGCGCGAAAGCGUGGGGAGCAAACAGGAUUAGAUACCCUUGUAGUC
Molecule: ribosomal RNA, 442 nt
Filed under: uncultured bacterium
Lineage: Bacteria
Description: partial 16S ribosomal RNA
Rfam family: Bacterial small subunit ribosomal RNA
Source: RNAcentral